Molecule: long non-coding RNA, 19619 nt
Filed under: Daucus carota (carrot)
Lineage: Eukaryota; Viridiplantae; Streptophyta; Magnoliopsida; Apiales; Apiaceae
Description: long non-coding RNA (DCAR_LNC005340)
Source: RNAcentral
AGUCUCGAGUGUUGCAUGACAUUGUAAGAUCAUAUGAUAUGGACUGGAGAGGCUGCAUUUGAAGCAAGGAGCAAUAAAGGCUCAACUGGUAUCAGCAGCAGUGUAAGAUAUAGUUUACUGUUCUGUAAAGCCAUUUAGUUUUUCACCUUAAUUUUGUUGUGGGUUUUUUUUCUUUGACUUGUUUAUGUUUUUGAAAAAUCAUGCUGACUAUUAUAUUACUGUAAACUGUAAAGAAUCUACAGGAUCUUAUGAACCUAUAAUAUACUUAGAUAUAAAUAAGCAGCCAACUACUUUUUCCCACCUUUAGUAUAAAUAAAGAAUUACAUUUUCUAUUUACUACAUCAUUGUUUGUUUUUUAUGAUAAUUUGCUACGUCAUUGUUGGACUACACAGAUUUAACAAGUUCUAAUAUUUUUAUACAUUAUAUAAUCUGCUUUGUAAUUAAGCAUUAAGGUUAGGGAGAAACAAAAGUAACGUUGGAGUGCUCUAUUUCAGCUGAUCAAGCAUUAGGUUCUAAAAAUGCAGUAAAUCAGAUAUCAGAGUGCUAGAGGUAUUCCAAACACAAUUUGAGUGCCCUUUCCUGAAGCUGAAAUUUACUCUUCUUACAGGAAAAAGUUUCAGAUGCUUCUGUAAGUUCAGAACUACAGGCAUCAGUAUUUAGAAAUCUGUGGUUUUGGCAUGAUGGCUGCUUGUUAUAUUGUGUAACAGGCAUUAUCAUUGUUAAUAGUUUAUUGUGUUUUAAUUAGUUGCAGCCAGAUCCUUCAUACGAGUUUGUGCUUUUGGUUCAGCAUACAGUUCCACCUGCUGUGAACUUGGGUCUGACCAAUUUCAUUCAGCUACAAAUAUUUUUGUAUGGUCUCGGGUUUUUUUUCGAGGGUUCUAUAUAUUAUCUGGUCUUGUUUGUUUUAAGUUUUCAAAAUUUUCAGAUGUCUUGUCUUCUUGGCAGGGGCGUAGCCUGAAAAUUCAUAAACUGGGGUCAAAAUAUUAUAUUCUCUUCGUUCCGCCAGAUUGUUUACGUACACCGUUUGCAUGCAUUUUGGGCCUCUUGUAAAGCAUAACGUAUUUUUAAUUUUUUCUUUUUUUGAAUAAAAAUUUAAACGUGAAUUUUUUUUUAAAAAAAAAUGUAUUAUGUAAGUAUACUUUAUAAAAACCUUAAAAUGUGUGCUAAAAAUUAAUGUAAAGAACCUCAUGGGACUGAGUAACAUAUGAGCGACGGCAACCAGCAAGAGUAAAUGAGUAAAGUAGCGGAGGUGGAGGCUUGGAGCGGCUGUGAGUACAAAAUAGAUAGAGAGAGUUAUAUUUUAAUAAAUGGGUUAGUGACUAGUGCUUUAGAGGGGACUAGGGUGUAUAUUAUAAAGUGUCAUUGAAGAUUAAGAUUUGCAACUGGGUUUUACUACUUUGCUGUUUUUUUUGUUCAGAGUGAGAACCAGGGUCAAACCAAUUUUUAAUAUGAGUUCAAAAUUUAUUUUAAUAAUAAUUAUAUAGAUAAAGUAAAAUAUUUUAUGGGUUCAAGUGACCCCUCAAGCGUGGCUGUAGCUACGCCCCUGCUUCUUGGUGGUGAAUUUUACUCAUAAAAUAAAUUUAUGCAUGCUAUUAUUGAAGAUGAUAUAAGACCAUUUCAUGAACAAGCAAGCCUCUUCUUGUAUACAAGCUACAGACAUACCUUAGCAGGCUUCUUCUUGUAACUAGCGUUUCGCUUUCAAGUGGUGAAGGUUGAGAUUAUCCUUAAUUUGGUACCUCCGUGCGCAGCUGUCUUGCAACUCCAAAUGCAUGUACAGUAUAGUGUUUUUGUUGCUUGCGUUUUGGCCUUUUGGGAUAAGACUUGAUGAAAAGAGUGUGGAUAUCUUUAGUUGAGCCAAGAUAUAGUCAUGUCGAUUAUGCUGGGGAUUGGGUAAAAUCGAGUGCAGAGAUAAUUUUUGCUAAGCUUGGGUGUCAACAAUCUGUUAUUGUUAUAUCUCUUGCAUGCUCAUGAAUUCAGCAGCAGUUCCCUAAGUUUGCGUGACAGAUAAAUAGAUGUUACACAUGCAUUGUUCAAUUCCAAACACUUUACAUGCAGAGAUUAGCAAUCACAGUAUAAAUGAAUCAAAGAUUAUUUUGUUUCGCAAUCAUUUUAAUCAUUCUUUACUCAGAUUGAACAAAUUUGGUUGCCAAAAUUUAGACACAGGCAACAUGAAAGUUGUAACUGAAUAAUUUGGUCUCGUUCCUGCUUUGCCCCCUGGUGGAAACACGACGGUGUGGAAUGAUUGGAAAAUCAUCGACACCACGUUCUUACUUGAUAGUCUAAGGAUACAAGACAACGCCAAGUUAACUCUUUAAGGAGUCAUUUGUUAAAUCUGGAUAAUAUUUUCUGGAUGAAUGAAAUUCUGAAUGAGUAAAUAUCUGGAUGAUUGUAUUUUUGAAUCAUUUGUUAAAUUAAAUCUGAAUGACUUAAAAUUAUAUAUUAAAUUUAUUUAAUAAUUAUUUUUAUUAGAAAACAAGAUUUAUAAUUGAUAAUUCAUUAAAUUAACAUGAAAAAAAUUUACAAUACAAAUUUCUUAUCAAUUAUCUCUAUAUAAUAAUAAAUGCAUUUCUUUUAAAAUAAUAAUCGAUGUGUUAAUAUAUAAGCCACUAUUUUAUAAGAUUCAAAUCUUGUUAAUUAAAAUUAACUAUUUAUUUUAUUAAUUUUAUAAUCAUAAAUAUAUUAUAAUAUAAGAAGUUAUUAUAUAAAGCAAAUAUAUGUUAAAUUAGCACACAUAUUCAUCAACACACUUACACAAGCAAGGUAUAUGAACCAUCCAGCGAAGUUAUGUAGCCUUUUUCGUCCAGCGAAUUUUCCAGUCGUUCAGUUGAUUUACGACAGCAACAAACAAUCUGAAUAGCUAACCUUUUUCUCGUCCAGCUAUAUCUGUCUCGUUCACUCGUUAACAAAUGAGGCCUAACAGUAAAUUAUUAGAAUAAAAUCUAUGGACUUGCUGAUAAAAAACAAGCAAUAUUUUAAAAAUAGAGUGAAUUGCAGGUUGUGUACCUGAACUAUCACAAGCUUGCACUUUGUGUACCUGAAAUAUACUAUCUAGCAGAUUGUGUACCUGGAAUUUGAAGAUUCUAGCGAUGUGCAUACUUCAACCUUUUAGUUCAAAAACUCAGAAACAGUAUUAGAAUAUAAUGUAAAUCAAAUUUUCAAAGAGGAAGAUAAAACUGGUAUUGAAUCAAGUAUGACUUACUUGGAAGAGUUCUAAAUUAGUACUUAACAAUUGUGGCAGAGUAAAGAUGUGGUGAAGCUUAACUAACCAUUGUUCCUUUGACUUGAGUAGUGACAUGGCCUCUUGAGCGGUUAGCCAUUGGCUUGGAAAGGCCAAAAUCAGCAACUUUUGCGUUCAAGCGUUCAUCUAACAAGAUAUUAUUUGAUUUGAUGUCCCUAUGUAUGAUCGGAGGGUUGGCUAGGUCAUGCAGAUAUUGUAAGCCUUUGGCUGCUCCCAGAGCUACUCGAAGUCGUCUAUGCCAGUCCUACCUGAUCCCAGACUUCCCUUAAAAGUGAAUAAGAUAAUUACGGUAUCAGAACUCGGAUGUAAAUUUGUUAUAACCUAAUCACAGACUUCCCUUAAAAGUCCUGAACUUCUACACAGAUUUCUUGCCGAGCCUGAACUUGAGAAAGAUAUGUAACUAAAUGCUAACUAGCUCUCUAUUUGUAAGCAUCUAGUCCAUCAGUAUAGGAUAUGAGCCCAGAGGAAGGAAUUUGAAGGCACUUAUACAAUAAGGAAUGCAAGUAAAAUAUUUGAUAAGCUCAUGUACCUGAGAGCCUUUCUUUCAGAGUUCCGUUUGCAAUAUACUCAUACACCAGCAUCUACGGCUGUAAAAUGAUCCGAGCGAUACCGGUUACCCUUUGCUCAAGUAUAGGAUCAUAUUAUUUUUAGCUUGUCUAGAUUUGGUUCCGGGAUCAGUUUAUUCGGAAAUAAACCGAUCCCGGAUAUAUGUGAUUCGGAUCUGAACCGAAUAUGAUCCAGUAUCGUAUUUUCUAUUUUUUAACCGGAUAGUUUAUGAUCCAUCGACUAUGAGCCAGAUAUGAUCCACUAACAUUAAAUAUCAUUAUCGUUUCAUUUAUUCAAAUAAUUAUCAUUUAGUCUAAGUAAACAUAAUAUUAUAAAGUAUAAUAAUUUUAAAUUAAAACUUAUAGUUAUAUGUUGAUAUAUAUCAUUUAUUAAAUAUAUAUGAAGAUAAUAAGUAUGAUCACAUGAAAUAAAUCAUAUUUUAUGAAGAUAUAAACUUAAUAAGAUAUUAAAAUUUUAUAAAAUGAUGACUAUUUACUUAUAAAUAUGAUGGAUUUAAAAUAUAAUAUGUAUAUGAGUUCGAAUCGAAUAUGAAUCGUCGAUCAUUUUCGGGUAUUCGGGUAGGAUCCUAUUAUGAAAAAUUAUAUGAGACCGAAUCUGAGCGGGCAUAGGUGUGCUCGUAUCUGGGAUCAUAUAUUAUACAGGCUUAAUUUUUCCGCCAGAUUUGGAUCAUUUUCAAAACGGAUAUGAGACAUGUAUUAUUUUCCAGCCGGAUAUAAGCCAAGACUCCGGAUAGUCCGUAUUUACAGCCCUACAUCUGUUCACCUUGCUCAAAACAAAAACCCAUGAGGCUGAGAGAAGCUCAAUCUCAGUUUUAAACUCAUGGCCGCCUUGCAUAGAUUGUUGAUCUGCUCUUUUAAUUGCAACCAGCAUCCCACCGGGAAGAGAUCCUCUAUAUACCUACAAAUAUCAAGACUAAGAUAGAAUUAUAACAGUAAAUAAAAUUUUCUGGGGAUUUGUUCAAAUCAAGGUCAAUUUAUACAACACAGUUUUAUAUUCAGAAAAUUUAGAAGAUGUAGCAGGUUCUGUUGGUUUUUAAGAUACAAGAGGGAGAUAGAUAUAAGAGCAUCUCCAAAAGGCUCUUUAUUUAGGCUCCUAACUUGAGAUUUGAGGAGGGAGAAGCAAAAUGUUGCUCCAAGAGACUCUUAAGUGGCUCUUAAAUCUUAAGAGCCUCUUGUUUCUCUCUCCUCUCUCCUCAAAGUUAAGAGCCACCACAUGGCUCCUAAGUUAUUAUUUCACCAUAAACAAAUCCGUAUCUCCAAUCAACCUCCAUCUUUCCCUCUCUUUUGUUAUAGUGGAGCCCAAUAUAUGAAUAAAAUAUGAAAUAGAGAAGAGAUGUAGAGAGUAUUGUUGGAGUUUACACUCUUAACUUUGUCCUAAAUUACUAAGAGCCACAUUUUUUAUAUUAUAUUUAGGAGCCAACAAGGAGGCUCUUGGAGAUGCUCUAAUAUAUUAGGUGGAAGCUUAUAGGAGAGACAUGGAAGCUUAUAAUUUUAUUAAUCAAAAAGUUUUUUAUAUAGAGCUCACAAAAAUCACAUUAGCACGAUUAGUGUCACAUAAUAAGUUUAUGGAGUUACAAAUCUUAUCUAAUUAAAGAGGCAUUAAAACAUUAUCAACUAAUUAAUAUUUCAGUUACAAUUUUGAAUCAUAAUUCCAACAGGUUCAAGAGAAUUCACAAAUUAUUCGUUACUUAUGCAUAGGUGCUUGAGGAGUUCGAAAAUUAUCAAAACCUGUUUCAGUAAUUUCAUAGCAAUAUAUUGUAACAUCUCAAUAUAUAUGCAUAGUGAUAAAAGGCAAAUUCAACUGUAAUUGUCUGCCGGCACAGGGCAAGUGGCCUAACUCCGGAAGAACUAUGAAAUAGUCUCUGUCAAAUUACUUACAACCACAGCAGAAUUUGAUAAGAAUAUAGGUAUUAUAUAUUCCAGCUAACCUUCCCAUAACCACCAGAUCCAAUAGCAUUAGCCUCGGAGAAGUUGUUAGUGCAUUUCAUAAGAUCUUCAUAUGAGAAACAUCUUGCUCCUUUCAAUUGAGGACCGCCAGUGCUGCUACUGUUAGAGUCCCAAGAACCUGCAAGCUUUUGAUGUUAAGUCGUAAUUUAGGGCUGAAUUACUACAUUUGCUCAUUUAUGAUCUUAUCAAAAGAAUUGCUUAGUUGAGUAGCUCUUUUAGCUCUUUUCUUUUCACGAAAAGCAUAAAUUCCUGCAAGAAGUAACAGUAGCACCAGUACACAACCACCAGCUGCAGCUCCAAUUGCAAUGCCGGUACUAGAUGACUUGCUUGUCCUCCUGGUUACAUCUGGACAAGUCCAUCACACAUCGCAGAGUCAAAAGAUCCAGUUUAACAUAGUAUGACCAACUUCUUUUAGUGUCUGUGUCAAAACAUUACUUACCUGAGGUAAACAUGCCAUAGUUAUCAGCAUUGAAGUAGUAAGUCCCAUAAACAGUUUUAUUCGGCUUAAAAGUUUGGUUGCUAAACACAAACCCUAAAGAAGAAAUUCCUGUACGGUUAAAGCGAUCUUUCCCUAAUGGGAAAACUUCCAAGGUGAUUACAAGGUAAUCAUCCAGAUUUUUUGUUGGAUCACUCAAGGAAACUGAAUCCACAGGGAGUCUAGUGGACUGAAAAAAUGACAUCAUGGAUGACUGAAGAGAUGUAUAGAAACUUGGAUCUUCUAGGUUGGAGAAGGAAGGAGCUUUAAAAUACAAAUGUCCCUGGUAUGGAUAUGCACAUAUACAGUUAGGGCUGGAUCUUUGAUCUGAACUACACAGAGCAGGCACACAGUUAUUUGUCUCCGUUGAAUAGGACGAAGAGUUAGACUGCUGAGGUAGGGUACAGUAUUUUUCAGUCCCUCCACUCUCACAAUAAGGGUUGCCGAUAAGUCUACAAAAGAGAAGCACAAGUUACAACAAUGUUAUAACAAAUUUAAUGAUAAAAAUGCUAAACUAGGAUUUACCAAAAAAGCCCUGCAAAAUUGGCCUAGAAUAAGAUCAAAUGGCCUACAUUAUCUCAGAAUUGUCUCCGGCUCGUUGCACUGGGGCUGAUAUGUUAUUGCUCUGCAAAUCUACAAGCUGGAGUUGGUUGCUGAAGCUAGAUCCGACGUCAAUGGUUCCAUUAAGAUGGUUAUUUCUUAGUAUUCUGUUACAAAAAAAAAAAGAGAGAAAAGAAAGAGCAGUUUGUUAUCCGUAAUUCAUGUAUGUUUGUUUAACAAUAAAUAGAGAUAUUCCAAUAUAUAUAAUACAUGAAUACAUAGAGGAGUUUUUUCACGUACACAGUUUGUAAUUGAGUAAUACUGAAGAGUUGCAGUGGCACUUCUCCUUGAAUAUUUGUGUUGUCCAUCACUCUGUCGUUGCAAGUUUAUGUCAGAUCCUAAACACAAAGUCAAUUAAUAAUACCAUGGCUACUCCAAAGCUAACUUCAUAGAAAUAUAAAGAUUGAAGUAGCAUUACCAAAUGAUGAAAUUAUUAUAUACAUUGGCAUUAGUUUUUUUUUUUUUUGCCGGAAGAAAUAGAAUUCAUUAAUUCCUCAAAUCGUUCUUCAGUACAUGAAGGAACUCUGAAUGAGCAUUACUCAUCCACCACCUACGAUCAGCAAUAGAACUACUAUACCUCGCUAAAUAGUGAGCUACGUGGUUCGCAAACCGCUUAACAAAUUUUAAGAAAACUCCUCUGUUUUUCAACUCCGAAAGCAGAUUUUUGCAUUCUGCUAUAAGCCUACCGAAAUAUGACAUGAGAAGGGAAGAGCUUCUUAUUGCCUGUAUUGCAACCAGGCAAUCUGAUUCGAUCGUCACAUCACACAUAUGCUGCUCUUUUAUCCAACUCAGGGCCUCCCUAAUCCCCAUCGCUUCUGCACUUUCAGGAGUCAUACUACCUUGUUUACAACUUGAGCGUGCUUCAAUCAGAUCUCCUGCAUGGUUUCUGGCAACGAAAGCAAAACUGUAGCAGUUGGAGGAUUGAAAAAUCGCAGCAUCAGUGUUCACCUUAGACUUAUUUUCAGAUGGAAGGGACCAGUGCUCUUCGCCAUCCUCCUUGGUCAUGAAACCUAAGAAGUUGUCGAACUGUUUGUCUUGAGCAGAUUGCCAUUGUCUAAGGACCAUAUUUGCCGAUUCUACGACGUCAACUAUCUCCGUACCGCGUUGGUUCCACACUAACUCGUUUCGUGCCUUCCAUAUUGACCAGCACAACAUAGCAUUUUUCUGGCGCUUUGCAACAUCCCAGCUAUCAAAGUUGUUUAGAACCCAAUCUGAGAAAGAGUCCCCUUCAUUAUUUCCUGGAAGGCCACCGAUUCUAUCCCAACAUGAUUUAGCAAAUGAGCAGUGGAGGAGCACAUGACUAGUGGAUUCUGGGUCUGAGUUGCAAAGAGGACACAAAAUAUUUACCUCCACCCGUUUUGUACGAAGCAUUACUUUAGUGGGAAGGCAGUCAGUUGCAGCUCUCCACAUAAAAUGCUUGACUUUUGGAGGCACUUUCAUCGUCUAAAGAUUCUUCCAGAAGCAUGGAUUUACUGAUGAAUUUUGGCCUGGCUUGCUAUCCUGGAUCCUCCUGUAUGCUGUUUUCACUGAGUAACCACCACACUUUGCGUACUUCCAAUACCAACUAUCUGGAGAAUUAUUCUGCAGAGGGAUAGAUAAGAUAAGGUUAAUGUCCCUUUCAUCAAAGAUAUCUUCGAGGAGAUCUUCAUCCCAUUUGUUUUCUCCCGAGACCAUUACAGAAGAUACUUUUGCAUUUUGUAUGGCCGGAUGUAUUGUUUGAAUGAAAGGGUUUUCGACAUCUGGAAGCCAUGGAUCUUCGGUAAUGCUUAUAAGAUCACCCGUACCCAGACGACAGGCCAUCCCUUGUUUAAGCAUCUGUUGAGCCUCUAAAAUGCUUCUCCAAAUAUAGCUGGGACUUCCACCAAUCUUAGCUGAUAAAAAGUUACUUUGUGGAUAGUAACGAGCUUUAUAGAUCCUUGCAACUAAGCUGUGAGGGUUUGUCAUAAGUCUCCAACCCUAUUUGCCCAAUAAAGACACAUUAAAAUCAUGCAAAUUAAAUGGCGAAAUCCCAGACCUCCGUACAUAUUUGAUUUGCACAGUUUGUCCCAGCUUAUCCAGUGAAUACCUUUUGACUUCUUCGGAUUUGUUUUCCACCAAAACUUGCACAUCAUUUGUUCCAUGUCCCUACACAUCUCGAGCGGAAGAAGGAAAACGCUCAUAGCGUAGUUUGGCAUCGCUUGAGCCACUGUUUUUAUUAAAAUUUCCUUACCUCCUUUAUUUAACAGCUUCCCAUCCCACGGCUGAACCCUUUGUUGAACUUUUUCUUUCAAGUAACCCAACAGAGCUGAUUUCUUUCUACCCAGGCUGUUAGGAAGACCUAAGUAAUGACUGGAAUCAUCAGCCUCAUGGAACUUAAGGAUAUCCAAAACCUCCUUUUUUGUGUCUGCAACGACAUUACGACUGAAAAAUACGCAAAAAUACGCUCGAUUUCUCGACAUUAAGCUUUUGACCAGAUGCAGUUUCACAUGUGCUUAAGAUAUUCAUUACAUGUUCAGCGUCUUCCUUAGUAGCUUUACAGAAGAUGUAACUGUCGUCGGCGAAGAACAUGUGGGUUACAGUAGGGGCACCUCUGGCUACCUUUAUACCCGUAAUCAAACCUUUCCUUUCAUAUUCCUUUAUUAUAGAAGUUAGGCCUUCCAUACAAACUAGUAACAAGUAAGAUGACAGCGGAUCGCCCUGUCGAAGGCCUCUUUCAGGAAUAAUAUCUCCAAAUUCUCUUCCUGCGUGAGUUAUUUUGUAUCUAGCAGACGUCACACAACUCAUUAGAAUAUUCACCAUCGUCACAUUGAAUCCCAUUUUCGAUAAAGUUGCCCUUAAAUAGGAUCAUUCUACGCGAUCAUAGGCCUUGCUCAUGCAUGUCAAGCUUAAGAGCCAUCCAACCCGUUUUGCCUUGAGUCUUUCUCUUCAUGUAGUGCAUGAUUUCAAAUGAUAUCAUGAUGUUUUCAGAGAUUAAACGCCCUGGGAUGAAAGCACUUUGAGUUUCCGAGAUUACCUUGUCAAUCACUUCUUUCAGUCUAUUUGCCAUGACCUUGGCCGCAAUUUUAUAUACAACAUUGCAAAGAGAGAUGGGUCUGAGGUCUGUCAUGAAUUGAGGGUUCUUCUUCUUCGGUACAAGAACUAUAUUUGUAUCUGUGAGGAUUAUAAACCCACUUGCAUCUUCAGCUGUUUGUGAAACAAGGGAUAUAUUUACUCUUUACAAUUUAAUUAUAAAAGAAUUUAUGCGUCAGGUCCUACGUUCUAAGGACGACAUCAAAUUUUCAUACGAAAACAAAGGGCUAUACAUAUAACAAACCCAAUCAAAUUACUAUGAUUAAUAAAGUAAAACUCUUAUGAAAAGUGGAUUCCACACUCAUGCACGCAGCAAUGGAACUUAAAAACUAAAACCUUAACUUUUCGUUUAAUUUCACGUAGAAAAUGUGCUUUUGUGCAGCACUGAUGCCACAAAGACUUACUUCAACAUAGAUUACGCACCACUUCAAUCCCUCCGACAAGUUAUAUCAGAGGCAAAUGCCAACCAGGGAAAAGGAAUUCCAAGACCAAUGCCAAUUCAUUUUGUACUGUCGGAAAACACAACUGCUGGUGAGUCAAAUAUUAGGGACAUACUGGAAGCUAAACUGUCAGCUGCCACCGCGUAAGAGUGCCCUGAACACAUAAUCUACACUUCCUCAAAAAACACCCACUUCGUCUAAUAUUUUUACUACCACAAAGCUCAACACAAGCUCACCUUGGAUUAGUUUUUAUACACAGUGCCAUGCAUUUGGGAAUGCCACAAAACUAACAGCAUUUAAAAGUUGACAACCAAACAAUCACACCACAUCUCUUUAUUAGCCAAACACUUAACGAUGCAAAAAAAAAAAAAAAAAAACCUCAAACUUAAAUUGUAGGUUCUACGCCGGACAUGCGAGGCCACAAUAGUGGCGGUUGUGGAAGGCGAGGGAUGGUACUACAAUUGCUGCCCACGAUGCGCACGCAAAGUGCAGACUACUACUGAGGGGAAUUAUUACUGCACAUUCUGCUCUAAGGAGGCCCAAGAUUUCAAGUUACGGUACUUGACUUGCAAUCAUCCUUUAACAUUAAUAUCAACUAUAUUUGCAUUCACAGUACCAUCAAAAAUAAGGAAAACUCAUCAACUUAAUACAGGUUCAGGCUUACCGUCCGAGUGGAAGACUCGAAUGCCCAAACAACUUUCACCCUCAAUAAAGAGGCCGAACAGAUCGUCGGCAUACCAGUGGACAAAAUUAUCGACGAGUUUCCAGAGGUGACCCAAAAUUUAAAAACAAGCGCAUUCAUAUGAGCCAUAUAAUUUCAAGACCGCUAACUCUGGUACUGUUUGCAGGGCACAAACAUUGCAGAAAUACCCCUGUCAUUAAGAACAUAAUUGGAAAGCGUUGCGUGUUUGAUGUCAAGAUUAAUGAAUAUAACACUGUCCGCGGUUACAAAGAUUAUACCGUGUAUCGGCAUAAACUCAACAGCCAGACGGAACAGCCCUCGACCAGCAACAAAGACAACCCAAACAACUCAAAGAAACAGAGGGUGAAUUGAGGAAGUCCAAAAACAAGCUACAUCCAGCACUACAAACAAAGAUAGCAUCAUCAACUUAGUUAUUCCGCACAAUCUUUAGCAGCAUUACACUAUGCACUAGACCAUCUACUAUAAAUGCAUCAGAAUCUUUGAACACAUGCACGUAUUCCAUAUGCAUUACUAACCUUCUUCGUAAGAGCAUCUCCAAUGUGAGGUGCCAACCAAAGUUGCUAAACAUGCUUAUUCAUCAAAAAUAUCAAUAUUUUAUUUUCUCUUUCUUUUAAGUUACUUUUGGCACCCCUCUUAUCAAUAUUCACUCAAAUGGUUGGCAAUUAAAGUUGUCAAAAUACUAUAAUUUUGUUUAUCUAAAAUUAGAUAGGAUAUUAUAGGCUUUUAUGACAAUAAAUGAAUUUUUUCCAUUUUGAGAGAGUGCCAAAGGGUGCCAAAAAUUGGCAACUUUGCUUGGCACCCCUAUCACUCCAAUGGGUAGCCAAAAAGAUUGUUAUGCCAUGUCAUGCCACAUGACAUUUUGGCACCUCUUUUAGCACCCCCAUUGGAGAUGCUCUAAUACUAUCCAUCUGAAUUCCGAUAUGUUUUAAAAUUAUUUCAAAAUUCUGUCAACAAUAUUUUAAAUCAUUAUUAUUGAUAAAUUUGCAAUAUUAAUUUUUCCCAAGUUCAAUAAAAGAGGUAUAUUAACUAAUAUAUGUUACUAUAAUUAUCUAAACGAAUUUAUUAUUUGAAAAUAUGUUAUUUCAAACUAAUUUAUUAUAAUGAAAGACAUCCAUUUCGAAGAAUACUAAAUUAAAACAAAAAAUAUUAAAACAGAUCACCAUAUUAAUUAUUAUGUAUGAAAUAUUACCAAAAACAAUAUCUUAUCUAUAUAAAAUAUAAUUUAUAGUGGUCGUCUCAAUAAAUACUAAUCGCAUUACUUCCCUAAAUAUUUUAUAAGAUGUACAUCUCUUCCAAAAAUUAAUCACUGAAAAAAAAAUACGUAAUCUAUCUUCAAAAAAGAUACAAAAAUUUAAAAAAAAAUUAAAUAAAUUUAUUUUAUAGACUUCUCUUUUUUAAAUAGUAAUAUAAGAUAGAAUAUAUAAUGCAGAUUAUGAUAGUGUUGUAAAUAGCAAACAUUCUAAAAAUAAAAUAACAUUGAACAGACUCCACAAUUCGUUACACAACCAUCUCAACAUAUUGCCAACAUAUUGCCCAAACAAAUGAGGCUUACUACUAUUUUCCUAAUUGUAAGGCCAUCGUACACCUCUCGCAUCUGGAGUUCUUCUCAUAGUUGUGUAUUCCUCGGUCGCAUUUUAGUUGUCCAUUUGAUUUUAUGCCGAUCGAAUUGAUCAAAGUUUGACUGCAAUUUAUUAAUAAUUUAUCAAUUUAAAAAAUAAAAAAAAAUUUGCCAUCAGAAAUAAUCUUUAAUCGACUUUAAGAUGUAAUUUUCAGUUUUUUUUAAAAUAAUGAAAGAGUAAUUCAAUUUGACAAACAAAAAUAAAAAUGUGACAACUAAAAAAGGACGGAGGGAGUACAAAUUUUCAUUUAAUUUAAUGGGAACCAACUCAGGCAGACACAAGUGUGCUGAGAGCAAGUCGUAUAGGUUACCUAAACUUUCUCCUAAACUCACAUUUAGAUAAUGUACUAAAAAAAAGUACUCCAACACUCUCUUAAUGGUUACAUAAAUCACUAGUAUAACCUCAAAUCUCCUAGCCAUUACCUAUUUAUAAGUAUCCCGUGGCCAUUACCUAUUUAAUAUUUAUGAAUAAAGUAAUCAUCUCUCUCCUUUUUUCUUUGUCUUUUUUUUCUCUCUCUCAUUCUCUCUGUCAAAUUUGUUAUUAAAAUAAUUUUAAGAGAACAAAUAUAGAGAUUGCUUUUGGAGUUGACACUAAAAAUAAAUUUAUCUAAAUACUCGUCAAGAUUCAUUAUUUUAUAUUAUUGAUAAGUAAUUAUAUAGGUAUUCAACUUUGAAGUCUACAUUCAUUCACUCACAUGGAUAAAUUAAUUUUUGCCCCUCAAACUCUUCCUAAUUUACACUUUUAGCCAACCUCACCCUGAACAAACGAGUACACAUCUAAAAUAUUAAAAUGAAAAAGUAAAACAGACAAAGUACACACACACACAAAUAUAUAUCAUAUUAUCAUCAAGUUUUCUCUUUUUUCUUCAAGUUCAACCCCUUUUAAUCUUCUCAGAUCCAUAUUCUUAUUUUUAUCAUUAAUUUUUACAAAUCUCCUGGUAGGUUUGAAUCCAUGGUUCUUGUCUGAAAAUCUACUUGUGUUCUGCUUAGGUUGUUUAUUGAACAAGUCUAACCUUUGUCAAACUAAAAGAAGAGCUGCACUUUUCAUGUCUUUACUUGGUUUUAUUAUGUAAAUGAUCAGUUGCUGAAGAUGAGUUCCAAGUAAACAAACAAAGGUAUGAUCUUUAUGUUUCUAUUGUUUGUAUAAGUUGAAUUUUAUUAGUUUAGCUUUAAUCUUUAUGUUUCUAUUGUUUGCAUAAGUUGAAUUUUAUUAUUUUAGCUUUAAAUAUGAUUUGUGUAACUGAUAGAUCUUUGCUUUGAAAUUUUGUUGAUAAUUUCAUGUUCUAAAGGAUUUUUGGUUUUUAUUACGCUAGAUCUUGUUAAAAGUUUGAAUCUUGAUUAAUUUUUGUUUUGUUUUUUAUAUAUGAGAUGAUGGGUUGUGAGUUUGGUAUUGUUUGUUAUUAAAGUUUGUGUCUUUUUGAUAUGUAUGUGCUGUAUUGAUAGGUUUGUGUGGUCAGAAAUAUAAGGGGGGUGUAUCAAGAUUAUGGAAGAGGUGGGUACUCAAGUUGCUUCUUCUCAUUAUAUUCACCAAUCACUUUCCAAGCAUUUUCUUGACUCACAACACCACCCCAUGGCUGCGGCUAAGAAGCGUAGUAUGCCUUUCCAUCCCCUCGGUUUUCACCUACCACAGUCGCAACAGCAGCAGCCUAUGUUUGGUUCUGGAUUUCAACAAAGCAGGGGUCAGUGGCACCCUAAUGGUUGGGAUUGGGACAGUGCAAAAUUUCUUGCAAAGCCAGUGGAAUCGGAUGUUAUCCGCGGGGGACCUUCGACAAUGUCUGUGCAAUCUGUAAUGCAGAGAGGUCACGGUGAUGAGAUAAUUGCAGCGAAUUCUGUGGAUUUGAGGGGAAAUCAUGUAGUGGAAGAUGAUGAGAAUCUACUUUUAAAGCUCGGGGGAAGCCGUGUUAAUUCUGCGGAGGAGAAUGUUUUGAGGCCUAACAAGAAAGUCAGAUCUGGAUCUCCUGCUGGUGGGAACUAUCCUAAAUGUCAAGUUGAUGACUGUAAGGAGGAUCUUUCAACUGCUAAAGACUAUCACAGGCGGCAUAAGGUGUGUGAAGUCCACAGUAAAGCUACCAAGGCUAUUGUGGGAAAGCAGAUGCAGCGGUUUUGUCAGCAGUGUAGCAGGUUUGUGGCUUUGUUUCUCGACUUAAACAUUUCAUGUUAAAUUAGUUUGUGCUAUUAGGACAUGUUCCACUUCGUGUGUAAUGGAAUCUUUUUCUCAUGGUGUGAAUUGAGAGGGGCUUACCGUUCUUUGUUGUUACUAAGCAAAUUUUGUUUAUGCAUUUUUUUUGCAGGUUUCACCCUCUUUCAGAGUUUGACGAGGGAAAGCGAAGUUGUAGGCGGAGGCUAGCAGGGCAUAAUCGGCGAAGGAGGAAAACUCAACCAGAUGAUGUUACCUCCAAGUUGUUACCUCCCACUAACCGUGAGAAUGUUAGUAACGGAGAUGUGGAUCUUGUCAAUAUUUUAGCAAUUCUAGCUCGUGCACAAGGUACAUUUUUCUGUGUUGCUUUGUUUGAAUCCCCAGUUUGUUGUUUGCACAUCUGUACCGAGCAUAAAAGCCUAAUACUAAUAUAUGCAAAUUACUAGGGAAUACUGAAGAUGGCAGCAUUAAUGGCUCAUCGAUUCCCAAUAAAGAUCAGCUUAUUCAAAUCCUUCAAAAGAUUAACGCGUUACCUUUGCCAGCGGAUUUUUCUGCAAAGUUUCCUCCUUCAGGAGUCACUAGUAACAUUGCUCCGUUUCAGUCAGAGAGCGAAAAUAAACUGAAUGGAAAUAAUUCUCACUCGUCAACUCUGGACUUGCUCGCUGUUCUUUCAGGAAAUCAAGCAGGAUCCUCUCCUGAUGCCACUGCAGUUCCUUCCCGAAGAAGCAGUCAUGGGAGCGACAGUGAAAAGACUAGGUCUCCAUGUACCAAUAUGCAAACCAGACACCAGAAUGAGUUUGCUUCAGUUGGAGAAAGAAGUAGUACUAGUUAUCAGUCUCCUACAGAAUGUUCAGAUGGCCAAGUGCAGGAAAUUCGUACUAAUUUACCGUUGCAGCUUUUCAGUUCCUCUCCUGAAAGUGACAGCCCACCGAAAUUGGCAUCAAGCACGAAAUACUUCUCAUCAGGUAGCAGUAACCCUAUGGAAGAAAGGUCACCUUCAUCUUCUCCGCCUUUUGUGCAAAAGUUGUUUCCCACAGUUUUCUCAAGAGAAGCAGUAAAUCCCAAGAGAUUGUUAAAUAGACUUGAGUUUAAUGGGAGUUCUAAAGCUGGUAAGGAUAAAGGCUGCUCCACGUCUCUUGAUCUUUUUGGAGGGAUGAAUAAAUGUGUUGACGAUAGUUCUGUUCAAAGUUUUCCAUACCAGGCAGGGUACACAUCCUCUUCUGGAUCGGAUCAUUCACCUUCAAGUUUAAAUUCGGAUGCUCAGGUAAUAUAGAAGACUUGUCCUGUUUUUGACAUCUAAUUUGAUAUCGCUUUAUCUUAUUAUUCAAAUUUAAUGAGACGCUGACUACCUCUCAGAAUCGUUCUGGACGGAUAUAUUUCAAGUUAAUCGAUAGGGAUCCUAGUCAGUUACCUGGAAAACUGAGAACACAGGUAAGCCACAAUCUUUGUAACCUCCAACUGUUAUCUUAUAUUUGAUUUAUCCAAACAUAGGAUAAUUGAUUACCUUUUUGAUUUCAGAUCUUUAAUUGGCUUGGUCAAAGUCCAUCAGAAAUGGAAAGUUACAUAAGACCUGGUUGUGUAGUACUAUCAAUCUAUAUUUCUAUGCCGUCUUCUGCCUGGGAGCAGGUAAUUUAAAUAUUUUAGAGGAUAAAAUCAGCUCUGUUGUUUUAUGUAAAGAUUAUUCUUUUUGUUGUUUUGGGUAGUCUAUUCGCUGCUGAAUAUUUCUUAUGUUUGCAGCUUGAAGACAAUCUACUUCAAAACAUCACUUCUUUGGUUAAAGAUUCGGAAGAUCCAUUUUGGAGAAAGGGAAGAUUCUUAAUUAAUGCUGGAAGACAGUUGGCAUCGUAUCAAGAUGGUGAGUGUUCUUAUGAUCACAAUUCCAAUAAUCAUACUUCUUGUUGGUUUUAGACAUGUGCUGGUAGCUUAUAUAGUUCCCUAAACGAAUUGAGUACAUAUGUAGAGUAAAGUGCAUUUUGUGUACCUCACACCACUUUUAAGACCAAACUUACAAAACCCUCACUUGCAAUACUAUUGUAUCAAAGUAAAUGCAAAUUAUGUACUGCCGUCUAUCAGGGGUUAAUGCCGUGAAGUAAUUAAGCGGGAUUUUAAUAAGUCAUCUCCCUUUUUCUGUAAACUAAACUCUCUUAUCUUUCCCCAGUUGAUGGCUGGCAACUCUACAGCACAGUAGAUUACAUGACUUGUGUUUUAUGGAAACACGAGAUGAAUAUGCAAGGUUAUACAGCCUCUACCUUUUACAAUCUGGAGGAGUCAGCAAAAACAGUGAUGACUAGCAAUUUAUAAAUGGUAUUAAAGAAAAUGGAGUCUAGAACUUGACCUUCAUAAAUGAUAAAACAUUAGCUUACAGUAGAUAAAAUUUUACCAUGCAUUGCAUUACAUAAAAUUCACCAAACGACCAACAACAAAGAUAACAAAACAACCACAAAGAGAGGUCAUUACCAGCACCUUCAUUUUCGAAAACAUCAAUCUCACUUCGGUGUCUCACAAUCUUUCCGUUCGGCCGACGAGUAAAUGAAGUUCAAUAGUGGGUGUAUCCACCUAUGAAACCCACAAACAUCUCAGCAUAUUUUCUAAAUCGUCGACCUCCAUUUUCACCAAACAAUCGACUUUUUUCAACACUCAUUCACACACAAUCCCAAGUUAGAUCAAGUAUAACCUCAGAUUCUUUAAGGUACCAGAUUAUACUUGUGAUUAAGGGUAAAUAAUGACGGAGUUCUGGUUCACUGGCUAGAAGAUAUACUUGAUAAGAAUAUGCAUAUUUGGAAGAAAUAAAAUGUAAAACUGUACUGAUUAGCUCAUGGAGCUGGAGUUUAUAUACAAAACAGAAUGAAAGCUAAUAGAAUUGACAGCUAAGCUAACUAACUAGACAGCUGGAACACAGCUGGAAUAUUGAGCUAUUUACAAUAUUUACAUAUCAGUUUAAUAAUACUUCUGGGAUUCUUUGCUAGAACACAUACGCAAAAGAGCUGGUGCAAAAAGUAAAAUGAGCUGUUGCAGUAAGUAAAUUACUGAAAUACCUUAUUUACUUAACGGCGUUAACCCCUCAUAGACGGCAGUACAUAAUUUGCAUUGACUUUGAUACUAUAGUAUUGCAAGUGAAGUUUUUUUAAUUUGAUAUUGAAAGUGGUGUUAGGCCUUAAGUUGAGGUACACAAAAUGCACUUUACUCUACAUAUGUAUUUAUAUUCAGUCACUAGCUAUCUUUGGCCUAAGUUGAUGUUAUCCAUCUACAGGAAAGGCUCACCUCCGUAAAGCUACGAGGGCAUGGAGUUUUCCUGAAGUAGUCUCUGUGUCCCCUUUGGCAGUUGUUGGUGGGCAGGAGACCACUAUAUUACUGAAGGGGAGAAAUUUGAGUGAUCAAUACACCAAGUGAGUAGCUUAUUCUUACCAUUGCAAAUGUUAAGUUUGCUAGUUUUACUAUAUUGAAAUUGAUUUAAUGCUAUUCUAGAGUUUUCUGCACGCACGCUGUUGGAUACAAGCUUGAGGAAACUUCUGGAUCAGCUUCCGAUGAUACUACAUAUGAUAGUAUAACUUUACACAAUUUUACGGUUGCUGAUGAAGCACCUGGUGUACUUGGGAGGUGCUUCAUUGAGGUAUUGAUUAAUUAAUAAGCAAGUAAUAAAUUACAUCACCAUGCAUGUAUCUUCAAACAAGAUUAUAAUACUGCUUUCAUGAACAGGUUGAAAAUGGUUUUAGGGGCACCAGCUUCCCUAUAAUUAUUGCCAAUGCUACCAUCUGUAAAGAGUUAAACCUUCUGGAGUCUGCAUUUGAUAAAGUUGCAGCACCACGUGAUGCUAUCUCAGAGGAAUCAUUCCUUGAUUCUGGACGACCCAUAUCAAGGGAAGAUGUUCUACAUUUCUUGAAUGAGCUUGGAUGGGUACUCCAAAGAAAAAGAUACAUGUCCAUGUUUGAGGUCCCCGAAUAUAAGCUCCACCGUUUCAAAUUUCUGUUUAUCUUCUCAGUUGAACAUGACUUUUGUGCUUUGGUUAAAACCCUCCUAGACGUUCUUCUUGAAAUAUGUUUGGGUAGGGAUGAAUUGUCGAGAGAGUCGCUACAGAUGCUGUUAGAGAUCCACCUUUUAAAUAGGGCAGUUAAAAUGAGGUCUAGAAAAAUGGUAGACUUGCUGAUUAAUUAUUUUGUACCUACUGAUUCCGGAAAGACAUACAUCUUCCUACCAAAUCUUGCUGGGCCUGGCGGUAUUACACCUCUACAUUUGGCUGCAUGCAUGUCAGAUGCAAAUUCUAUGGUUGACACUUUGACAACCGACCCGCUGGAGGUGUGUAAUUUUAUCAUUAUUUUUUGGUUUCUAGUUAUCCAGAUUUAAAAUCUCAUUAGUCAUGAUCCUUAUUCCUUGGCACCUCAUAAUACUCAAAAGAUAGAUUUUAGUUUCCCAAAAACUGUUGAUAAUUUCUUUUUUUUUUUUAAAAAAUCCUUUAUAUGUGCCUCUGUUUUUGUCCAACUGUAGAUUGGUUUGCAUGGAUGGGAUUCCCUUCUUGAUGCAAAUGGCCUCUCUCCUUGUGCUUAUGCUCAGAUGAGAAACAAUCACUCUUACAAUGCGUUAGUAGCUCGAAAGCUUGUUGACAGAAAAAAUGGUCAAGUCUCUGUUCCGGUAGGUGAUGAGAUACAAGAACAAUCACUAAUUGCGGGUCAGAUCCACCAAGCUAGCUUUCAAAUCAGACAAGGGCAAAGAUCUUGUUCAAAGUGCGCCGUCGGGGCUGCUAGGUACAAUAGGAAGACUUCAGCCUCACAAGGCUUGCUUCACCGGCCCUAUAUACAUUCAAUGCUUGCCAUUGCUGCUGUUUGUGUUUGUGUAUGCCUAUUCUUAAGAGG